Molecule: small nuclear RNA, 125 nt
Organism: Marmota marmota marmota (Alpine marmot)
Lineage: Eukaryota; Metazoa; Chordata; Mammalia; Rodentia; Sciuridae
Source: Ensembl
GCUUCUGUCUACUGGUAUACAUAUGGCAACUCGAUUGCUCUUCAUGCAGAAUCAACAUCAAGAGAUUUGGGAAGCAUAACUUUCUGGUACUUGGGCAGCUGGUGAUUGUUGUUCUCAGUGCCUUU